Molecule: ribosomal RNA, 253 nt
Filed under: uncultured bacterium
Lineage: Bacteria
Description: partial 16S ribosomal RNA
Rfam family: Bacterial small subunit ribosomal RNA
Source: RNAcentral
UACGGAGGGUGCAAGCGUUAAUCGGAAUUACUGGGCGUAAAGCGCGCGUAGGCGGUCUUGUAAGUCGGAUGUGAAAGCCCCGGGCUUAACCUGGGAACUGCAUUCGAUACUGCUUGACUAGAGUAUGGUAGAGGGUAGCGGAAUUCCGGGUGUAGCGGUGAAAUGCGUAGAUAUCCGGAGGAACACCAGUGGCGAAGGCGGCUACCUGGACCAAUACUGACGCUGAGGUGCGAAAGCGUGGGGAGCAAACAGG